CGCACAUAUAUACUCCUUGGGGUGUGCUUAAAUCGGAGUCGAGCUGAGUCAUAUUGUAAGAAUCCAAUGCCCGUAGUAGUACAAUACCGCCGCCACCGUUAAGCUAUUCGUUGAAGACCUCCAUUCUGUUGUGGACGACGUUCAGUGGUUUUUUUUUUCCUACUCGUUCGCGGUUUUUUAACGUAUUCCGUACCCGUAAACUCUAGUACUGUGACAGUACAUACUUUCGCGCUCGCACCCAUAACAUAAAUCGCAAUGGCAUCGGGAGUGACCGUAGCGGACGCAUGCAAAAAGAUCUACGAGGAAAUAAAAAAGGACAAGAAGCACAGGUACGUGGUAUUUCACAUCAAAGACGAGAAGCAGAUCGACAUCGAGAAGAUCGGCGAGCGUAAUUAUGACUACAGCCAGUUCCUAGAAGACCUACAAAAGGGCGGACCGCAAGAGUGUCGUUACGGUCUAUUUGAUUUCGAAUACACUCACCAGUGUCAGGGCACAUCUGAGAGCUCCAAGAAGCAAAAGCUCUUCUUGCUCUGCUGGUGCCCAGACACGGCCAAAGUCAAGAAGAAGAUGGUCUACUCGUCCAGCUAUGAUGCGCUCAAGAAGUCGCUGGUAGGCGUACACAAGUCGUUCCAGGCCACCGAUCUCUCGGAAGCAUCCCAAGAAGUCAUCGAGGAGAAGCUCAGAUCCACUGACAGACAGUAAAAAAAUAAAUUAUUUUCAACACACAUACAUAUUAUGUAUAUUUAUAAAAACAAAGUUUUCAUCUUUACGUUUUGGUAUUAAAUUAAAUAAAAAUAAAAAUACAAAAAAAUUACCUAGUACUUCCACAACGUAAUCAUUUAUUACAAAAUAUUAUUAUAAAUUUACUAACAUUUUUAAAUAAGAUAAAAAAAAAAACCAAAUAAUCAUAAUAUUAUACAUUGUUAUAAAGCGAAUAUGUUCCCUUAUAGGAACAUUUAUUUUAUACCUAUAUUAUUAUUUUAAGUAUUUUAAUGCAUGCGUGUUUAAUUUCUCAUGGACAAAUUAUACGUAUUUCGAACUUGAAGCUCUCUAUUUUGUUGGUUUUUUUUUUCAUUCAUUUUUCCGCGUAUAGUUUUCCACUAUACUAGUAAUGUCGUAUUUGCGGGUUGUGUGUCUGUGUGUGUGUAUGUGUGUGUGUGUGUACAUUAUUGAUGAUACUAAACUGUAACAUUCAGUUUUAAAACGAGUAGUAUUAAUAUAAUAAUACUAUUGUAUCAAGUAUUAUGAUUACACAGCAUUGGUUUUAUUUCUUUAAAGCCGUGUCGAAUACGAACUUUGGUCUGUUCGGUUUCUUUUUCUUCCCAUUUCCCAGUCUAUUAUCG
Cinara cedri is the source of this 1343-nucleotide non-coding RNA. Lineage: Eukaryota; Metazoa; Arthropoda; Insecta; Hemiptera; Aphididae. The record is from the annotation of a GenBank genome assembly.